RNAcentral lists this ribosomal RNA (547 nucleotides) under Trichoderma hamatum. RNAcentral describes it as "eukaryotic LSU rRNA". The stretch from base 162 to 315 matches the Rfam family "5.8S ribosomal RNA". Lineage: Eukaryota; Fungi; Ascomycota; Sordariomycetes; Hypocreales; Hypocreaceae. The record is from RNAcentral.
CCAAUGUGAACGUUACAAACUGUUGCCUCGGCGGGGUCACGCCCCGGGUGCGUAAAAGCCCCGGAACCAGGCGCCCGCCGGAGGAACCAACCAAACUCUUUCUGUAGUCCCCUCGCGGACGUAUUUCUUACAGCUCUGAGCAAAAAUUCAAAAUGAAUCAAAACUUUCAACAACGGAUCUCUUGGUUCUGGCAUCGAUGAAGAACGCAGCGAAAUGCGAUAAGUAAUGUGAAUUGCAGAAUUCAGUGAAUCAUCGAAUCUUUGAACGCACAUUGCGCCCGCCAGUAUUCUGGCGGGCAUGCCUGUCCGAGCGUCAUUUCAACCCUCGAACCCCUCCGGGGGAUCGGCGUUGGGGAUCGGGACCCCUCACCGGGUGCCGGCCCUGAAAUACAGUGGCGGUCUCGCCGCAGCCUCUCCUGCGCAGUAGUUUGCACAACUCGCACCGGGAGCGCGGCGCGUCCACGUCCGUAAAACACCCAACUUCUGAAAUGUUGACCUCGGAUCAGGUAGGAAUACCCGCUGAACUUAAGCAUAUCAAUAAGCGGAGG